RNAcentral lists this ribosomal RNA (407 nucleotides) under uncultured bacterium. RNAcentral's name for it is "partial 16S ribosomal RNA". It matches the Rfam family "Bacterial small subunit ribosomal RNA", at positions 28 to 526 of the family's 1533-position model. The record is from RNAcentral.
GACGAACGCUGGCGGCGUGCCUAAUACAUGCAAGUCGAACGCAGUUGCGAACGGGUGAGUAACGCGUAGGUAACUGCCUCAUAGCGGGGGAUAACUAUUGGAAACGAUAGCUAAUACCGCAUACUGUGAGAUGGACCUGCGUUGUAUUAGCUAGUUGGUGAGGUAAAGGCUCAACAAGGCGACGGUACAUAGCCGACCUGAGAGGGGGGAUGGGCCAAAUGGGACUGGAACACAGGCCAGACUCCUACGGGAAGGAGCAGUUGGGAAUCUUUGGAAAUGGGCGGAAGGCUGGCUGCACAAAGGCGCGUGAGAGAAGAAGGGUUUCGGAUCGGAAAACUAUGUUGUUAGGGAAGCGGUAACUAAAGAGAAAGGACCGGCUAACUACGUGCCAGCAGCCGCGGUAAUAC